UAGCGUUACUGACGGAAUCUACAGCGUCUUGAGCUGAAUUAAGACUUCAGAAGUCAUUCGUCAUGUCGAAUGACCAGCGGAUAAACUCUCAGGUGUUUUGUGCCAGAAAUGGAGUGUCCACUGAAGACUGAAGAUACUGAAUCUCUACGCCGUGCCAUUGAUCCCUCUUGUGCCUUCAUCUAGACAAGAGACAUUAACUUAACCACUCUCACAUGCUCUGUACCUACAUCACCUUCCCUGACAGUCGUAGCUUGGCUCAUCUGAGGAUGCUGACAAGCUGACACCGUAAUAUGGAAGAGGGAGAGAAGCUGGAAAGGACUACUACAAAUAAACCCAAU
This is a long non-coding RNA of Oreochromis aureus, 338 nucleotides long. Lineage: Eukaryota; Metazoa; Chordata; Actinopteri; Cichliformes; Cichlidae. The record is from Ensembl.